This 46-nucleotide microRNA precursor is filed under the name Sus scrofa (pig). Its description in RNAcentral is "miRNA (ENSSSCG00005038246.1)". Lineage: Eukaryota; Metazoa; Chordata; Mammalia; Artiodactyla; Suidae. The record is from RNAcentral.
GUGGAGGCAGCCGGUCUUGCUCAGGGGGUCAGUGGGGCUUAGAAAC